CAAAUGUAAAUAAACAAAUCACAUGAGAGUCCACACAUAGCAGCUGCUGUUCCAGAGUAUGGGCCAGCCUCAUCCCACCCAUACUCUGCUUCUGGCCGCUAACAAGAUGGCGCCUGUGUUUGGAAUAGCCACAGGUCCGUUUCCACAUUCCCGCCUGGCCACAGGGCAGCGCUGUGUCUCCGUCCAUGUUUCCUCGGGUCUGUUUAUCCUGGAUCUUCAGUGGUUUCCCUUCCUGUUCCCUCCAUGAGUGGACUUAGGGAUUUUAUCAAUAACCCAAUACCUGCAGCUGGAGAGAGAGGAGAGACAACAAGCAGACAAGUCACCAAACUGCAAUCAGGGGCAGAAGCUCAAGGCAACUGCCCCGAGUUUCUGCUCUCAGAGUUUAUUUAUAACAAAGAUAAGACUGUGAGAGAGACAGUAGCCAAGUUUACAUGCGCCAAAUUCCCUCAAUCCGAUUGAAAUCUUGGUUGAUCGGAAUUUCCCAAUCUCUAUUCACAUGGACACGAACUGAAAUGAUCCAAUCAUGCCAAGCGUACAUAUGCACCAAGCAUUUGAUCCGAUUAAAUAGGUUGAGCAUGUACAGAGAGUUGCCUUUCCCGAAAGAAAAUUUGUAAACAGUCGCCAUGAAACGAAAUGAAAAAUGUAAAAACAGAAAUAACAAUUCUUCCUGCUUUCCUGAUUCAUUUAUUCAAUUUAAUAUUUUUAUUUAACUCAUAGAAGUUACGUUUUCUUCAGUGAAUAACUGCAGAUAUAUGCUUUGCUGCAUUUUAUUGUUGAUUAAAAUAAAGGGAGGGUUAUGUUUCUGCCUCUUGAUCAGCUGGUCCGCGGGUCAUGUUUAAAAAAGUGGGCUCGACUCCGUACGUACUUGCGUGCCUGCCGGGGCCCUACGCACGGAUGGAUAAUGGCGUUGCGUGUCUCCGCACUGUUGCAGACGGAGAAGCAUGACUCACGCUUCACUGUUAUCACAAGCUGCUGAUCUAGCAGCAUGAUGCUCAUUAUUAUUUUAUGGGUUACAGACGAGUGUUGAUGCUCUGUGUUUGUAUUUCUGCAGCGAGCCUUACAAUCUCACCUCUUUCCACCCACAGUUUCGUCUUAAACACGUAUUACAUUUACUGUUUUGACGCAUUUUAACGAGCCCCCUCCGCGCCGUGAUUUCGUUGUUGGAUACAAACUUUACAGCACUCUCACAAAGUAAAUGUUUGGCAGAUAUGUUUGUUUACAUUUUUUCCACUGCGCGUCUACAGUGUUAAGCCUGAGUCAUGCUUCUCCGUCUGCAUCAGUGCAGAGACACGCAACACCAUUAUCCGUCCUUGCGUAGGGCCCCGGCAGGCACGCAAGUACGCACGGAGUCUGGCCCACUUUUUUAAACAUCCGUCCAUUGAGACGGAGAAUGCAAGCUUGUGAUUGGUCAGAACGCCGCUGUUGUUUACACCGCCGCCAUUGCGCCCUCAGAAACAUAAAGAGAGCCGAGGAUAACUAGCGGCAGACACGAAAGAAGCUUGAAGAAUACCUCGCGAAAAAACUCUAAAAUAUGAACGUUUAAUUCCCCCGUGACUGGAGGAGUGAAAAGAUGCGUAGCAAGCAUUUUAUUUGAGGACGGAAAUAACAGGAAACGGGGUUUAGAGGUGGUGAGCGCAUGAAGAGGUGGAGGAGAAUGAGGGACAAAUUUUUCUUUGUUAAAAAGUCUCAUAUACAAAAAAAAAAACACAAUAUAAACACACUAUCUUGGACCAGAUACAUGACAGGAUACCACAGAACAGCGCUACGCCCUCUGUUGUCCUGGUGGGGAAUUGCUUUGCAACACUCCCCAGGAGACGGAGAAGUAUGAAAGCAAAACGCUUCCGUCAAUCCGUGCGUGUCUGUCCCUUGCGGAGCUGACGGAGAAGCAUGAAUCAGGCUUUAGGGAAAGGAAGGGAGGGCCUGACGUGAUGCUGCAGUCAGGGUAUCUCUAUGCUCCACAGUAGCAGCGACGGAUGGCUGGUUUGACCGGCUCUGAGAGGCGCUAAUCAGAAUUUGCAGAUAGCGUCAUAGUUAUUUGUUAAAGUAAUGCAUUACCAUAAAUAGUAAUGUGUUUACCAACAUUGGUUAUGUAUAUUACUGAUUGCAAAAACACCCCUAGGUAUUUUGUCUUGUCUUUUUACUGAAUAUUUUUAUUUUAUAUAUUUCUGCUUGGUUCACUGCAGUUUCAAGGAAGAGAGAAGAGACGGAUGAGAAACCUCUGCUCU
Molecule: long non-coding RNA, 2225 nt
Filed under: Nothobranchius furzeri (turquoise killifish)
Lineage: Eukaryota; Metazoa; Chordata; Actinopteri; Cyprinodontiformes; Nothobranchiidae
Description: lncRNA (ENSNFUG00015015547.1)
Source: RNAcentral